AUUGAACGCUGGCGGCAGGCCUAACACAUGCAAGUCGAGCGCGAAAGUUCUUCGGAAUGAGUAAAGCGGCGGACGGGUGAGUAAUACAUGGGAAUCUGCCUGGUAGUGGGGGACAACGUUUCGAAAGGAACGCUAAUACCGCAUACGCCCUACGGGGGAAAGGGGGGGAUCUUCAGACCUCUCGCUAUCAGAUGAGCCCA
RNAcentral lists this ribosomal RNA (200 nucleotides) under uncultured bacterium. RNAcentral describes it as "partial 16S ribosomal RNA". It matches the Rfam family "Bacterial small subunit ribosomal RNA", at positions 30 to 233 of the family's 1533-position model. The record is from RNAcentral.